CUAGUUGCUUGGAAGCUUUUCUCCUAAUUCUCCAACUCGUAUGAACCUUUCCCAAUGACAGCUGAAACCUGAUAGGGUCCUUCCCAGGUUGGACCUAACUUCCAAGUGUUAAGUUUCAGGGUAUUUUUAGUUAUUUCCUUAGAUCCAUUGAAUUGGGUUCAGUUGAAACUCCUUGAUUUCAUUAUUGCAUGGUAAAAAUGCUUUCAUCCCAACGGUCAAAAACCACCUCCACAACACCCAAAUCCCCCCCCCCAAGACCCAGAUCCAGCCCCAGCCCCAGCCGGCGAC
RNAcentral lists this long non-coding RNA (288 nucleotides) under Nicotiana benthamiana. RNAcentral's name for it is "long non-coding RNA (NBEN_LNC017869)". Lineage: Eukaryota; Viridiplantae; Streptophyta; Magnoliopsida; Solanales; Solanaceae. The record is from RNAcentral.